AUCCGAGUGACGAAUCCCAAAUAGGACGAAAUGCGCAUCCCGGAU
RNAcentral lists this non-coding RNA (45 nucleotides) under Trichobilharzia regenti. The record is from RNAcentral. Lineage: Eukaryota; Metazoa; Platyhelminthes; Trematoda; Strigeidida; Schistosomatidae.